GACCUAGUAGUGUAAUGGUAACACACCUAUUGCCAUUACUCCCACCAGAUGCUUUCUGUCGGAAAUCUCUGUUCGAAUCAGGGCUGGGUCA
Non-coding RNA from Mycena rebaudengoi, 91 nucleotides. NCBI's taxonomy places the organism in Eukaryota, Fungi, Basidiomycota, Agaricomycetes, Agaricales, Mycenaceae. The record is from the annotation of a GenBank genome assembly.